AUGACGGUCAGGUACCUAGAGAGUUAACAAAUCACAGAUACAAUCAGGAGCCUGACCAUUCAGUGCUUUAAAAACAAGCUGUCUGUGUAGUUUCUCAUUCAUCCAGGUCAUGGUUAUCCAAAGUUGUUUAAAUCAAUCCAAGACAUUCUUCUUCAGCACUGAAGAAGCCUCUUGGAUGAGAGAUGAAACGUCUUCAAGGAACCUUCUUAAAGUCCAGUUGGAUUGAUUUAAACAACUUUGGAUUUAAAAACAAGCAAUAAAAAUUUAAAAUUGAUUCUAAAACUCAUUGGUAGCCACUGAAGAUCAGAGAGGAAUGGGGUAAUAUGGGCACAUCUUUUAAUGUGUGUUAGAAGCCUGGCAGGAGUGUUUUGUACUAGCUGCAGCCUUUGGAUGGUACACUUGCUGAUGCCAGAUUAAAGUGCAUUACAAUAGUCAAGUCUGAAAAAGACGAAGGCAUGAAUAACCGUUUUAAGUCUGCUGAGGAAAAGGUGAGAUGUACCACACAAAGCUACAAAUUUCUCUGUAAAAACCUGAUUUUUAGAUGAAUCAGAAAGACGUCUUAUUUUUAUACAUUCCUGAAAUGGCAGAUACUAGAACCCGGACACUAUUUUAUUUUAUUUUCUACAGAGGCAUUAAUUUAAAUCUUCAACAGAUGAGAUGUUAAUUUCUCUCUACGAAACACAGCAAUAACAAACCAUCAGAUGCUGAAAUCCUACCAGAGAAAUGAUAAGUUCUGUUUUAAGAAAAAAAUUUGAACUGAGCCAUGUUGGUUUUUAAAAAAGCUGGCUUUUCAAAUUGAGACAGAUCAACUGCAACACUGCGGUCACUUGAGUGCCAAGAGACAACUCUGAAUCAAAAAUGACUCCUAGAUUGCUAGCUUGUUUAUGAACAUCUGCGAGGGGACCCAGACUAGAGGAGAGGUUAUUAAUGCUGCUGGUGCAGGGCCCAGAGGAGGUGAUUAUUAACACCUCUUAUUUGGAGUUGUUUAGCUGUAGGACAUUUUUUGACAUCCAUUUCUUGAUGUCCGCAAGGCAAGACAAAAUCUGAGACAGAAUAUAGUUUUAAAAAGGAUCCUAGGAUUAUGACUGUGUUUAGUAAUGAAUGCUGAAAAAUAGAUGUCCUGUGCAUCUUUGACCAUACAUCGAUAACCGCGCAUCAACUCCUUUAGAGAAGCAAGAGAGACAAUGAACUUGUCCUUUUUCCACUUACGUUCAGUUUUCCUAUAUUGUUUCUUUAAGAUCCGAACAUCUUCAUUCAGCCAUAGCAGAGAAGAAGGUUUUUGCUGUUUAUAUCUUACUGGAGUUAUAGAGUCUAGAAUACUUGUACAAGAACUGUUAAAACUGCUGACAAGUUUCUCCACAGAAAUUCCAUGUUGCCCACUGGUAUGGGAGACUGUGUUUGGGUAAAUAAAAGCAUGACAGAAGCGAGGAGCAGAGAGGGCGUUUAGUGGGCGGGAACGAAUCAGAGCUAUGGGAUUAGAUCCAGGAGCUAGAACUGGAUGCUGUGUCGUAGUUUCUCUUAGACCUCAAGGAUGUGCAGAUGUUGAAUAAAACGUCCGUUGACACUGUUGCUUUUACAUAAUAUGAUUUUAUUAUAUAAUAAAGACAGCAUCUGUUCAGGCGCCAUGGAGACUUCAGAGCCAAUGUGAAAAUCCCACUUGAACAAAGGGCUGGUGGUCAUUUUAUACCCUUUGGUGACGUAUGAGGUCACAACAUCUAGUCUCUCUUAGAAAACUUGGUAAAAACAGGAUACAGGAUACCCCCUGUCAACCAGACCCCUCAAUUCUAUAGGGCCAUCCAUCAAUAUCUGGACGGGGGACCCCUGCAUAAACAUUCCCUCAGCCUGUUUACGCAGGGAAAGAGGAAACGUAUGUUUUCCCACAAGUUGCUGGUCAGCUAAUAGAACAGACAGAACAGGUUCCAUUCUAAUAACUUAUCAACUAAUACAUGUCUCAGAUCAGAUACUACAGCUGGAAUAGCACUGCAUUGUGAUCUGAAACAACAAACUCAAACAAGUUUGCAUCAUUCACACAGAGACCAUGGGAGAUCAUAAGAUUAACUGUGUGUCCCUUGUCAUGGCUGGGCUGCUUUACAUGUUGCAUCAAAUUGAAGGAACCUAAAAGUUGCACAAAAUCUGAAACAAAUGAAGUGGAGAAGGGGAAACAAACAUGGAUAUUGAAAUCACCAAGAAUGAGAAUUCUGUUGUAAGUGAUCAUAGUAAUAGACAGAAGGUUACAAAAUUCCUGAAUAAAGCUGGAAGUAAGCUUUGGAAGUCUGUAAAUUACAACACAUAAAAUGGGCAAAUUGGUCUAUAUUACGGUUCUCAAAGGUGGAUAAACAGCCAAGUGAGACUGGACAACAGGUGAAAACCUUCCUGUGUAUAACCACAACCCCCCACCGCAGCCUGUUAUUUAAGGCUGAUGAAAGAAAUAAUCUGGGGGAGAAGCCUCAAUAAGAGGGGCCAAAUAAUUGAGAUUUAACCAAGACUCUGUAACAGCAAAAAAGUUCACAUUGUUGCUAAAAAUAAAAUUCUGACAGAUAAAAGAUUUGUUGCCAAGGGAUCGCUGGAGCAGGAGAGUGCUUCUGCUCCAGUGAAAGUUCAGCAAGAGGAGAGAAAAAGUUGGUGAGUGGGGUAUCAUUAUCACCUAUGUUAAAUGGGUCAUAAAGGGUAAGAGAGACCAUUUUAUUACUUUUGACAGCAGAUGACCAGGAUUUGGGGUGAAGUGAAGUCAGGUCUGAAGCCGGUGACUGGUGUCUGUCCGCGGGCUCCAGACAUGCCAGUCGAACACAGCUCUGUCUGCCAUCGGCAAAGCUCACCAAUGAGUAGCUCGAGUGAACAUAACUUGGUUUUCAACUCAUCCACCUCUGCUGUCAGGGCCAUCAACAAGGUGUUGAGGGCUCUGGAGAGUUAGACCAGGCUUGCUUUUCUUUUUGAAGAAGUCUGUGUCUGACUACUGCUGUUAGCUCACAUGUUUCGGUCUCCGUCCAACUGGUAAGCUACCUAGCUUGAUGAGCUAAUGACUCUGGUUCCGCUGCCGGUUCCUCUCACUUGUCUUUUUUUAAUUCUUUAUUUUACCAGGUAAAAUCAGUUGAGAACAAUGUCUCAUUUACAUUGAUGACCUGGCAAGAGGUCCCAGCAGGAAGAAAGAUAAAGAGGUACUUGUGCAGUUUUUGAUAACUUGCACUCUUUGUCACAGCUCAUUACAUCCAGAGGUUAAUACUGACAUCUUUAGAUCAUCAGCGAAGAUGAGACUGUCCUCAGCUAUCACAGUGUGCUUUCGUAUGUUAUCAGUCAUCCAUCCCUGGAUGGCUUCAGAGUAGCUUGGUGGUUAGCACUGUCAUGUCACAGUUAGAAGAUCCCUGGUUUGCGUCCCGACCUGGGCCUGGGAUCAUUUCACUGGGUGUUCCAGCGUCCUCAUACAGUCCAAAAACAUGCCGAGGUUAACUGGUGAUUCUAAAUUGUCUGUAGGUGUGAAUGUGAAUGUGCUUGUUUAUCUCUCUAUGUAGCCCUGUUGUGGCGAGCAGAGGGGUUGAGAUAGACUAGGGUGCUACAACUACUGGAUGUAGACACCAGCCAAACAACGCCACCCUGGGACUUUCACCCAGGGAAUUGUAACCACUAAGAACGAGAAGGCAACUCAGGUUUGUCCUACUGAUGAGGCAGGAGACGUGAUUCCAGUGAAGGCAAAACAAUACAAAAUUUAUUUAACAGUAGCAAAAAUACUCACUUUAAAACCAAUUUUUAAAAAAACAACCAUUCACACAGGAUUGUUACAUGAAGGGUUUUGGGGACUAUUCAGAGCUGGGGGCUCUCUGGUGGAGGUUUGGGCCAACGGGCGUCACAGGGGAGCCCAGGAGAAAUCACCCUACUCACACGUGAACAUGCACACACCCACACAUACCUGAGUGAAGAAAUAAAAAAAAAACAACCAGGGGAUGAGCAGCAGGAAGGGGUUCCCCCCACCCGAAGACACCAGUCCCCACCACGGGAGGCCUACAGCUUCUGCAAAGCACAAGGGAAGGGAACGUUCAUUAACAGAGUUAUCUUUAAAUCAAUUACCAAUUUAAACAAAAUGAUUACAAACACUGGACAAAACUACUUAACGCAAACAAAAGGAAAGAAAACAAUUUAUUAAAACUGAAACAUUCAAGUAAAUAAUAAACAAAAAAAUACUAACAUACUUAAGCAAAAUCGACUGAUAAUACAAAAACGAUUAAUCAAGGGCAGUCACGUGACAAACAAAUCAUAAAUCACAUGAAGAAAAUAGUACCUAACAGAAACAAAUGGUCACGUGACAGUGUAACUGCCUUAAAUACUCUCAAAAAAAACAGGGACAAGAAAAAAGAAAUUAAACCCUGCUUUCACACAUACACACAACACGUUAAAAUAGCGGCCGGUAGGACAUAGUCAGCGGCAACAGAUGUGAACUGAGGCAGCCCAGUACCCGCAGCACCCACACAAAAGCAGAUAACAAAACCUCAGAAGACAAAGCAGACCGGCGGCUGCAGCAAAGCAGUACAAACGGAGGCAAAGCAGCAGCGUCUCCUGCGUCUGUGACCCGGUGUAGCCGGCACAGCUCCAGAUAAGUGUUGGCCACGCCAAGCGGUGACUCGGUCCAGAAAAAGGGAACAGGAAGCAACCAGCGGCCACAGUUACAGCCUAUAAUGACAAGCUGUUAUACGCAUGCAACAUAAACACAUUACAUGAUAGCAAGCAGAGAGGACCUACCAGUAACGGCCCGCAAGUGGCUCACGGCUCGGACUGGACACAACAGCCUGCGAGUGGCUCACCUCUCAGGCUACGGAUGCGCCACGGUGACUCUACGAGGAUAAUAAUGGGCUACUAUAACCACAACGCACGAAAACAGCCUUAAACCGAGGGCAAACAAUGUAGCAAUUGCUACCAUACCUGUAGGCAAAACUUAAACAGGAAGUGAGGCGAACGGAGAGCGGGGCGUGCCCCUGAUGUCAAAGCAAGAGCCCAGCCUUAUAGUGCAUCCUCCUGCCAUGAUUGGUUAAAGCAAGUCACGGUCAUUAUGUCACAGGAGCAAAACACCAGCCAACCCAAAGCGAGGAUGCAGUACCCCUUCAUUCUGCUACACUGUGAUAGACUGGUGACCUGUCCAGGGUGUCCCCUGCUGUCACUGGAAGUCAGCCCCUCGCUUCCCUAAUGAGGAUUAAGGGGUGUACAGAUAAUGAAUGAAUGGAUGGAUAGUUCAUCCAUCCCAUCCAUCCAUCCAUUGUCUUCCGCUUAUCCAGGUUCGGGUUGCAGAGGCAGCAGAUGAAGCAGGUCAUUCCAGAUGUCCCUCCCCACAGCAACGCUUUCUAGCUCUUCCUGGGGGAUCCGGAGGCGUUCCCAGGCCAGACGAGAUAUAUAAUCCCUCCAGCGAAUUCUGGGUCUGCCCCGGGGUCUCCUCCCAGGCAGAUGUGUUUGGAAAACCUCCUAAGAAAGCCUCCCCGGAUCCAAAUCAGAUGGCCAAACCACCUCAACUGGCUUCUUUGGACGCAAAGGAGCAGUGCCUCCGGGUGUCUGAGCUUCUCACCCUAUCUCUAAGGCUGAGCCCAGCCACCCUGCAGCGGAAGCUCAUUUCAGUCACUUGUAUCUGCGAUCUUGUUCUUUCGGUCACUACCCAGAGCUCAUGACCAUAGGUGAGGAUUGGGACGUAGAUGGACUGGUAAAUUGAGAGGUUCGCAUUGCGACUCAGCUCCCUCUUCACUACGACGGUUCAAUACAACACCUGCAUUACUGUUGAUGCCGCACCAAUCCACUUGUCCAUCUCAUGCUCAAUUUUCCCAUCACUCAUGAACACAAUUCUGAGAUACUUGAACUCCUUUGCUUGGGGAAGCAACUCCCCCCCAACCCAGAGAUUGCAGUUCACCAGUUUCCAGCAAAGAACCAUGGCCUUGGACUUAGAGGCGCUGAUCCACAUCCCCACUGCUUCACACUCGGCUGCAAAUUGCUCCAGUGCGUGCUGAAGAUCACGGUCUGAUGAAGCCAACAGAACCACAUCAUCUGCAAAAAGCAGAGAUGCGAGCCUGAGGUCCCCAAACCGGAUACCCUCCUCACCCCAGCUGCGCCGUGAGAUCCUGUCCAUGAACACCACAAACAAGAUCAGAGACAAGGGGAAGCCCUGGCGGAGUCCAACACCCACCGGAAACAUGUCUGACUUUGUGCCGAGUACGCGGACACAGUUCUCACUUUGGUUGUACAGGGACCGAAUGGCUUGUAUCAGUGAGCCUGGUACCCCAUAUUCCCGCAGUACCCUCCACAGAGCCCUUCAGGGGACACUGUCACAGGCCUUCUACAGAUCCACAAAACACAUGUGAACUGGCAGGUCAAACUCCCAGGAUCCCCUCAGCAGUGCCGCAAGAGGCUGAGAAGUGUGAUACCCCAGUAACUGGAACACACUCUCCAGUUCCCCUUUUUGAAAAUGGGGACUACUUGCCACUCCACAGGCACUGUACACAAUACCCACACGACAUUGUAGAAACAUGUCAGCCAAGACAGUCCAACAAUGUCCAGAGCCUUCAGCAUCUCAGGGCAGAUCUCGUCCACACCGGGCGCCUUGCCACCGAGGAGCUUCUUAGCUUCUUUGGCUACCUUUAGGUUGCCGCCACAACAGGCACUAGUGACCUUCAGGCCACAGCUCCUAACACACACCUCUGCAAUGGAGGCUUUGAACAUGGCCCAGUCAGAUUCCAUGUCCCCAACCUCCCCUGAGAUGCAGGAGAAACUCUUUUGGAGGUGGGAGUUGAAAACCCCACAGACAGGGGCCUCCGCCAGACAUUCCCAGUUCACCCUCACUACACGUUUGGGUUUACCAGGUCUGUCCAGCAGCCUUCUCUGCGAUCGGAUCAAACUUACCACCAUGUGAUGAUCAGUUGACAGCUUUGCACUUCUCUUUACCCGAGUGUCCAAGACACACGGCCGCAGGUCUGAUGAUAUGACUAUGAAGUCGAUCAUCGACCUUUGGCCUAAGGUGCUCUUGUACCAGGUACACUUAUGAGCCACGUUUUGGUCGAACAUGGUGUUUGUUAUAGCCAGUCCAUAACUAGCACAGAAGUCCAAUAACAAAACACCACUCGGGCUCAGAUCAGGCAAGCCAUUCCUCCCAAUCACCUCUCUCCAUGUUUCUCCAUCAUUGCCCACGUGAGCGUUGAAGUCCCCCAGGUGAACUAUGAAGUCCCCAGGCGGUAACCCUUCCAGGACACCACCUAGAGACUCCAAGAAGGCCGAAUACUCUGAACUGCUGUUCAGUGCAUAAACACAAAUGACAGUUUUCCCCUCUGCAAAACAAAGUAGCAGAGAGGCAACCCUCUCAUUCUCUGGGGAGAACUCCAACAAAGCUGCACUCAGCUGGGGGCUCAUGAGUAUCCCCACACCCACCCGGUGCCUCUCACCCAGGGCAAUUCUGGAAAAGGAGAGAGUCCAACCCCUCUCCAGGAUUCUGGUUCCGGAACCCUUGCUGUGCAUGGAGGUGAGCCGGUAUCGCUCACCUCCCACACCAGCUCAGGAUCCUUCCCUGCCAGUGAGAUCUACACCACCAAGGGGCGGUGUGCCUAGAUGCCCACUUCUGCCUACUGCCCGGUGGGCAUAGCACCUGACCCUGAUUUCCUGCCUGGUGAAUGGUGGGCCCACCGGGCGACAACCCCAUGUUCCUUUUUUGGGCGGUGCUCUCUGGGGAACUCCUCCCCCCAGACCUGGCUCCAAGGAGAGGCCCCAGUUUCCCUGAUCCGGGUGAGGUGGCGACUUUCCUUUUCAUGGAUAGUUCAAAAAAAACAAAAAUAUACAUACACACUAUUUCAACCUUUUCACAUCCUGCUCAUCUUCAUCCCUUCAUCCCUGUCAGUAGUGAAUCCCAGCCAUCACUUGCCAUUGUAUACUCAAAAGCUUUGAAAUUUGAAUCGCAAAGGUCUUCAUAUUAUACUAAGAAAAAUAUGAGGUUGACCAGAUUAAUUCUCUGGGAGAUGUUCCUUGAAGUACAACAUCUGUAAUUGGAAAAAAAUGCACCAAAGUUGCACAAUAAAAUCAUAAUGACUGACUUCCUUGUAGGUUUACUGUUUGGCUCUAGGAGGCUUUUUUGUCAGUCUUGGAAUGUUACAUGUGGCUAUGUAAUUUUGUACAUGAAGGUGAAAUGAGGGUUACCCCAUUAAAAUUUCAUGGGGGGUGCUGUUAAACCCUUUUGUCACACCCACACAGUGGACACAUAAGCUGACACAUUUUCACCACUUUUUAUACAAGUGCAAAGUAUGUACAGUUUAAUGAGGGUCCUUACACUGGUUGGUGCUGUGGGGCCUUAAUGGUGCUUUUGCCCAGUGUGCAAAAAGCAAAGCACUGACCCACAAAGUGCUUGGAAAAAUCAGAAGUUAAACUCUUUCGUGUCUGCUUAUCAACCAUUUUAGGUGUACUCUGCAGAUCAGUCUGUCCUGGCAGAAGAAAAGGGCGAAUUUGGUCCAUGUUCUACAUUUCGAAGAGGUACAAUAUUUCAGUGUGAGAAUUGCCACAGUCAAAGAGCAUUUCUUUAGGCUGCCACCAGUAUUUGAACAAGAGGCAAAGCCAAACCGCAACGAUCUCCCAGGUCAGCGUCUUUCUGCUAUGGAAGAACACACAUGGUAAGAUUUGCAUUGAUUUUUACCAACCAAAGAGCGAGUUGCCAGAUUUGACCGUGGCCUCUGGUCAGCAAAGAAAAUAUGAAGAUUUAAUUGUUUUGCAUUAUAAAACUUUGUAAGUAUUUCCAUUGUGUUAAUUUCAAAUAUAUUUUUCUCUUUUAAAGCUGUCACCCAGAUGAUAUUCUUAUCAUUUUUUGUGCAAUGCUGAAUUAACAAUUUCUUUUUAUUUCAUUUUUAAAAAAAAUCUCUGAAUUAAGCUAUUCAAAUCUAUCUUUACAAAGAUAUAAAGAAUAAUCGACAAAAACAACAAAGGCCUGGUUGAUUACUCAGUGUUAGAUGGCAUGGCUAAAUAGUUCAGUGGUAACUCAUUUGUUGUUCAGUGUAACUUAGGCAAAAGGGUAUUGUUUAUCAAAUAUUUCAACAAAGCAAUUUUUUUUGAAAGACUGAAGCAAGGACAAACCAAACAGUACGAACAAGUUUGCCCAACAAUGAUUUUUCGCUUUUUGAUCCUUUGAGUUGAUUUAUCAUUCAACAGUACAUUCAUGCAUAAAAACAACAAAUUUGUUUUUUGUCACAUUGCAAUGGUUUGUAAUCCUUCUUGAAACACCUGAAACCUGCUGUAAUGUGACAAACUCAUCAGUAGUGGCACUUCAGUGAACUAAAAGUUUUAGGCAGACUCCUUUCUAGCUUGCAAAAAAAAAAUAAAAUAAAAAAUAUUAGUGCAACAUUUUGGUGCUAAACCUGCUUCAGGUAAAUGCUUUGGUCCAAUGAGAGAGAGACCAUGUUAAAUAGGGAGUGGCUCUUAUUCCACUGCCAAUCAACAUACUCCACAUGCCAUAAGGAAAUUUGAUAUGUAAAACAUUUGACCAGAUGACAAUUUUCAAUAGUAUAUAGAAUAUCACAUUUAAGAUACUUAUUUUCUUUUGGAUAUGGUCGUCCUUCUCCAAUGCAUCUGCCUCAUGAAAUAGAUGUGCAAGGAGUUCCUUUGCUUUAAUCACUAUUUCUGGUUUAUGCCAUUUGCUCUGUUGUCCAUUCUUUGUAUCCAACCACGACUUACAUUUGAUUCCUUGGAAGAACUGUAUGAUUUCUCUGAUUCAGUUACACAUAGACACCAUAAUCAACUGAAACUUGGACAUUGGAGAUUCAGUGAAUGAGCCUGACCGCUGAUCAAAUCUGAGGUGGCCGUGCAGGUGGCCAAGCUCACAUCAGUGUGGAAGGAAAUGGGGAAGUCAACAAUUGCUUAAAUCACAAACAGCUAGUUUUCAGGUUUCAUUAAUUAAAGCAAUGGAUAAAACCAUCAUGAGUGGUCAAAUGAAAAGCAGCAACAACAAAACAUGUCAGCAAUGCUAGGACAUCAUCGAUAAAUUCAUUCAGUUUCAAUUCAGUUUAAUUUCAAAAAACAUUAUUCGUCCCCUGAGAGAAAUUCAAACCAUGCAGUUUUAAGCAGAAUGAUAGCAACAACUAUAAUAGUAUGAGCAGCCAUGUGGUGGUUAGAAUAUUAGAAAAUUAGGUUAAAAAUAGAACUUGCUGAGAUGAAAAUAAAGUAGAAAAUCAUAUUGACAAUGUGCAUAAGGUGCCAUUAUGAUGAAGAAGUGCAAGGUGAUUUUACAUGAAUUAGCAGCAUGGUUAAAUAAGGAACAGAUGCACUGUAUUUAGGUGUGUGUGUAAUUUAAGUUGCAGGAUGCUUGAACAUAAAUUAUUUCCAAGGAGAAACGUUGUGGGGAAGAUGGCGAAAAACAUGCUGAAAAGAGAGAAUUUCGUGUUUAUUAUAGUCGUCUGUUGGCUCCAUACACCAGUCCAGUAGGUGGCGAAAAUGUUUCUUUCAGCUGGUUUGACAACCGUCAAAAGAAGGCUACAACCCAGACUGUUCUAUACUCAAAACAUCAACUGAGAGACUGGUUCGUUUUUCACAAACACGGAUUUGAUCCGUAAACUGUUGAACAUGUCCAGACUUCAGCGUUCAUCUGUCAGCGGCUAACUGCGACAGUGGAGGAGGUAAUUGGGCACUUCGAGAGAACUUUAACCGAGUACGAAGACGAGACUGAGUGCCGCCAUUGCAAGCUGCUGGCUACGGUCUCAGAUCCUCAGGAAACGAAGCAAAAAAUAGAAGUCCAACAGUUGGUGAUUAAAGAUGAGGUCUCUUCUGAGCAGCAGCAGUGGGCUUGCAGCCUGAAUCAGGAAGACCCAGUCCACCAACAGAUUAAAGCUGAAGAACAGGAUUUCUGGCCCCAUCUGGAGCAUGAGCAGCUACAAAGACUGUCUGAGGAGGAGGUCACCAAUGUCCCUUUCACAACUGACUCUGUGACAAAUACACAUGCUGAAGAGGAAGCGCAGUCCUCACAGCUUCAUCAAAGACAGAUGGAGGAGAACAGAGAGGCAGAGUCUCCGGGCAGUAGCUCAACCCAGCAGUUUAAGACAGAGGACUGUGGAGGAUCACAACCAGGCAGGUUCUUAGUGUCUGGUUUUCAGUAUCUGUCAGGAUCUAAUGAUCAUGGUAAUGAUUUAAAGGAGAUAAGGAAACCUCAGACAGAUUUAAAUAUUAUUAAAACUAAAGUUUCUGUAAAUGA
Amphiprion ocellaris (clown anemonefish) is the source of this 11176-nucleotide long non-coding RNA. RefSeq lists it as uncharacterized. NCBI's taxonomy places the organism in Eukaryota, Metazoa, Chordata, Actinopteri, Pomacentridae. The record is from RefSeq and is a predicted model, not a curated record. The transcript has 2 exons.